ACCCGCACAAGCGGUGGAUGAUGUGGAUUAAUUCGAUGCAACGCGAAAACCUUACCUACCCUUGACAUGUCUGGAACCUUGGUGAGAGCCGAGGGUGCCUUCGGGAGCCAGAACAUAGGUGCUGCAUGGCUGUCGUCAGCUCGUGUCGUGAGAUGUUGGGUUAAGUCCCGCAACGAGCGCAACCCUUGUCAUUAGUUGCCAUCAUUUGGUUGGGCACUCUAAUGAGACUGCCGGUGACAAACCGGAGGAAGGUGGGGAUGACGUCAAGUCCUCAUGGCCCUUAUAGGUGGGGCUACACACGUCAUACAAUGGCCGGUACAGAGGGUAGCCAACCCGCGAGGGGGAGCCAAUCCCACAAAGCCGGUCGUAGUCCGGAUCGCAGUCUGCAACUCGACUGCGUGAAGUCGGAAUCGCUAGUAAUCGCGGAUCAGCAUGUCGCGGUGAAUACGUUCCCGGGUCUU
This 461-nucleotide ribosomal RNA is filed under the name uncultured Thauera sp. RNAcentral's name for it is "bacterial SSU rRNA". It matches the Rfam family "Bacterial small subunit ribosomal RNA", at positions 919 to 1382 of the family's 1533-position model. The record is from RNAcentral. Lineage: Bacteria; Pseudomonadati; Pseudomonadota; Betaproteobacteria; Rhodocyclales; Zoogloeaceae.